UCAAUCAUGUCGGGCUAAGCCGAUGUGUUAAAAGGGAAACAACCCAGACUCUCAGCUAAGGCCUCUAAAUAACGGCUAAGUUUACAAGGAAGUCAUAUACCGCAGACACCCAGGAAGUUGGCUUAGAAGCAGCCAUCUUUUAAAGAACGCGUAACAGCGCACUGGCGGAUGGUAUGUGGCGCCGGAAAUUCCGGAGGAUCAAGCCGUUUGCCGAAGCUAGAGACUCGAAAGAGUGGUAGGGGAGCGUUGUAAAGGCAGUGAAGCAUUGCUGUAAGGCGGUGUGGAGCGUUUACAAGUGAGAAUGCCGGUAUGAGUAGCGAGAUAAUGGUGAGAAGCCAUUACUCCGUAUGUCCAAGGUUUCCUCCGCAAUGUAAAUCAGCGGAGGGUUAGUCGGUCCUAAGGGCGUGCCUCGCAGAAUGGGGUGUAGCCUGAUGGAUAAGUCGUUAAUAUUCGACUACACGGUGUAGUACGUAUAAGGGAGUUACGAAGUUGGAUAGAUCGAGCCUGCGCAAGUGGGUACCAAGCAGCGAGGAAGAGUUAACUGGAAAAUCCGUUAAUUUGUUUAUGUGAGCUGUUAUGGAGAGCUUACCGAAAGGUGGUAAUUCGAUUGAAUUCAGUUUCCGGGAAACACUUCAUUAUGUUUCCGUAAGGCAAACAAUGCUACAUUUGUACCGUACCGCAUAACCGACACAGGUGGACUGGUCGAGAAGACUAAGGAGAUCGGGAGAAAGUGGAUCAAGGAACUCGGCACAAAAGCUAGGCGUAACCUUUGGGAGAUGCCUUACCGGUGGGUAAUACCGCCGGUCGCAGCGAAAGAUUGCUUACCAACUGUUUAUCUAAAACACAGGUCCCUGCAAAGCCGAAAGGCAACGUAUAGGGGCUGACACCUGCCCAGUGCCAGUAAGUCAAAUGUCUCUGAUGAAACCGCAAGGUCAAGUUUAGGACAUAAGCUCUGGUGAACGGCAGCAGUAACUAUAACUGUUCUAUGGUGAAAUUCGUCGCCUUAGAAGUGACGUGUUUUGGAAAUUUGGCUAUAUGCUGGAAUAUCUGAGAAUCUUACACUAGUUGUUACUCUAAUAAAUUUAGAGUUAUACUGAAAAUGUGAUAAGUGCAGACAAUCAGCAGGAAAGACUAAUUGGUUGGAUUGUUGGGUUUACAGAGGGAGAAGGGUGUUUUUCUAUUGGUUUUGUUAAACAACCUCAAAGAAAAGACAGAAAGGGCUAUCAAACUGGUAUUCAAGUAUGGCAUGAAUUUGCUAUUACGCAAGGGGCCAGCAGCCUAUCUGCUCUAGAAAAAAUCAAAAAAUUCUUUGGAGUUGGAAACGUUUAUAUCAAUAAAAGAUAUGAUAACCACAGAGAACAUCUUUAUCGAUAUGUUGUGAGAAAAAGAGAGGAUUUAUUGAAUACAAUUAUUCCUUUCUUCAAAAACAACGAAAUGCAUACAAUAAAGAAAAUGCAGUUUGAAAAGUUUUCAAAUAUUCUUGACUUAGUACAAAAUGGAAAACAUUUAACUUGGGAUGGAUUGGAAGAAAUUUUGAAAAUUGCUGAAACAAUGAAUGCACGUAAAUCUAAAGCGUCACUAAUUAGAAUCCUCAGAGACCAUAUGCCAAAGCCCAUGAGUAAUCAGGGUAAGAUAUGGUCCCGACUGCAUGGCGACAUGCAGGUACAAUAAGCCUUUUAUUGUACAGAGUCUCAAUAUUGAGAUGAAGAUUUCAAGCGAAGUUCCUUGUCGGGCAAGUUCCGACCCGCACGAAAGGUAGAAUGAGUGAGCAACUGUCUUGAUCCAUUACCCGGCGAAAUUGAGAUGGCCGUGAAGACGCGGCCUAGUAAUGCAUGGACAAAAAGACCCCGGGAGCUUUACUGUAGCUUGGCAUUCGUUUGUUUAUUUUAUAUGUUUAGAAUAGGAGGGAGCCUUCGGGCAAUCGUGAAAUACCUCUCUUUGGAAUGAAUGAACGUUACCUCUAUCCCGCACAAAAAUCCGGGAGGGGAACAGUGUCUGGCGGGCAGUUUAACUGGGGCGAUUGACUCCUACAAUGCAACGGAGUCGUACAAAGGUUGGCUAGCCUUGGAUGGAAAUCAAGGUGAUAGCGCAAACGCAAAAGCCAGCUUGACUGUGAGACUUACAAGUCGAGCAGGGACGAAAGUCGGUGUUAGUGAUCCUGCGAUGCUUAGUGGUAGGCACGCAGCUUAACGGAUAAAAGCUACCCCGGGGAUAACAGGCUGAUCGCAUCCAAGCGUCCACAGCGACGAUGCGGUUUGGCACCUUUUGUUUGAUACAUUGGGGCGCCUGCAGAGUAAUCUGCAAGUCUGGUUCAGACUCUAUAUCUAACCCAUAUAGAUAAGGAAUUAAAAAUACUAGUCAAAAUCGGUGGACACCUAUCAUUUCAUGAAGAGACAUGGAGGAUAGGCCAAUACCGAGGGAAGUCAAGUUUACUUGACCCCGUAUCGACUCGAUCGAAAGAUCGGAUGGAAUGUCCAGUUUGGAACUUCCAUAUACGACUAGCUCCUUCGCAAGAAGGAUGAAGGUAUAGUCAGUGCUCUUAGUAAUAAGAGGAAGACAGCGAUGUCGGCUCAUCCUAUCCUGGGGCUGGAGAAGGUCCCAAGGGUCUGGCUGUUCGCCAGUUAAAAGGGUACGCGAGCUGGGUUCAGAACGGCGUAAGCCAGUUCGGUCUCUAUCCUGCAUUACCGUCGAGAUUUGAGAGGAGCCGUCCCUAGUACGAGAGGACUGGGAUGGGGGAAUCCCUGGUGUGCCGGUUGUUGGUAAUCAUUCCAGCAGUGCCGGGUAGCUAGAUUCCCAAGUGAUAACCGCUGAAAGCAUCUAAGUGGGAAGCACACCUCAAGAUAAGAUCUCUUAGACCCCUUACAGAUCAUAAGGUUGAUAGGCGGGCGAUGGAAGUACAGCAAUGUAUUAAGUUUACCCGUACUAAUGGUCAUCGGAGUAGAUAA
Molecule: ribosomal RNA, 2945 nt
Filed under: Patescibacteria group bacterium
Lineage: Bacteria
Description: partial 23S ribosomal RNA
Rfam family: Bacterial large subunit ribosomal RNA
Source: RNAcentral